CCUGAUCUCUCUGAUCUGAGGCAAUUCAGCAGCAGGGUCUUCUUCCUUUUGCUUCUCAGGAGUGGGGAUGUUAGAAAAACACUUCAUAAAGACAAGGUAAGGGGCCUGCUGCAACUACAGGACUGAUGUGUGUCUGAGGUUAGACUUUUGUGUGAUCCAACACAGACUUGGCAGCAGUUCAUCCUCUCCCAGCAUCACUCCAUGUGCCAUAGCCUAAACAAUGGGAUCCAUGCCAGUAGACUCCUGUACCAUACUUAUUUGUCUGCACGUCUGCUGUGCAGCUCAAGGCUGUAACAGUCUCACUUAAGGUUGAUAAAGGAGAUAAAUACCCCUGACAGGUGUGCAGCAGCCUGCCGGCACACCGACACACAUCAGCCUUGUUUGCUGUAUGAGUGCCUUCCUUAAGGACUGAACUUCCCUGCAGGUCAGGUGAACUGAACACCGCAGUCUUUCCUGCUGCUGGCCUGUGGCUGUACUGGGAGAAGGUCUGCAGGGAAGUACAGAACUGGGACCACAAAAGAGGACCGUGAAUAUAGCAGUGAGUACAUGGACUAAGAAUUAGUCCCUCUGUGUUUGUGUUCACUAAUAACUUGCAGGAAGGAGCCACAGGAAUACUUUUUACCUGAUGUAAUCUUACCUUUAGCCUGAUGUAAAUAAGCAACAUUUACUGUCCUUAUUAAUAAUAGUGUUUCCAUUGUCUCUCCCUAUCAACAGUAUGUAGUGUUUGCAUUCUCCUUCCUGCUAUUAUGGUGGAGCGAUUUAGGGUUUUUCUUUUUUAAAGCUAAUUUCUUUUUUUUUUUUUUUUUUUUUUUUUUUUUUUUUACCUAUUUUCUCUUUGUUAAAGAAGUCAAAACUUUACUGAAACACACCAGCUCUGCUGUCCCACCAAGAGCAGCUAGCCAGCCUGGUUUAUUUUGCCAAUUAGUGAUUUUCUGAUGCUGACAGACAUGGGAGUGAGAAAGAGAGCUCAAAUUAAUUCUCAUUUGUGACAUGGGCUGGCACUUGAACCUAGCUAAAUUAAAAUGUUCUUUCUGUGUUUAGUCUGCUCAAGUAAAUUAACCAAAAGUCCCUGUCUCUCACCACUGGCUUUACAGCUUAGAUCUUUGAGUACACAGAGCAGAGAGACAUAACUAUUUAUGGCAAACAGAUGUAAGGAAACAGCAAGCUCUUGUGCGUAUGGUUCCCUGCAUUAAUUGCCCAUUCUGUUUUACAACAGCUUCGUAGCACUACAGGGCUUAAUAGUUUGCCACAGCUAUAAAAAUUGCUACCAGUGUGUCUGCUAACACUUGCUAUCAUAUCUUCUCGCUUUCCAUGAUUCACAAGCCUCACAAUGCUAUUUGGAUCAGUUCAGCAUAAACAUUUUGUUAAAACACUCAUUUGUCUUUGUUUCCAGAGCUGUCCUUUCCAAAGCUGCUUUCAUUUCUCUUGGUUCCUGCCCUUGCUAUUUCAUCAUGAAUUUAUUUCCAAACUCCUUUCCAAGAAUACGGACUGCAGUGUGCUCCUGUGUACAUGCCCAACAGAUAGGCUGUUCUUCUGAAGAUUCUUCUGAACAGGAGCAUGUUGUUGCUUACUACUUUGGAGAAAUGGUACCAGAAUGUGACAGGCAGAGACAUUUACCUUAGCAGCAAGGAAUUUUUUUUUUAACAUAAGCUGGAUGCAUUUAUUUUUCACUCAUUUCUAGCUUUUGUCAAGCUUUGCAGAGAGCAUAUCUAAUUUCUGCUUCAACUGCACUGGACUUCAUGCUUCAUUCUGAAUACAAUGCUCUGCCGAUGUCACUCUUUGGCAGAUUUGUGUACUGAAUUUGUGUACUAGUGCCUUUUGAGGAAAUUGGCUGUUUAGACACAGUGAAUAAAGAGUUUCAAGUGAAAUUUAAAUGGGAUUCAUUCCAGCUCUGAUUUUUUUCAUCGUCUAACUUGCUCAAGGUCUUCAUUUUUUUUUACUUACGUGUAGUCAGAUAAUUAAUUAUUUACUCCCCACAAAAAAACUUUAAAAAUGAAAGAAAAGUCUCAGUUUCAUGUUGAAUUGAAUGUAUAUAAUUACUGA
This 2043-nucleotide long non-coding RNA is filed under the name Gallus gallus (chicken). RNAcentral's name for it is "lncRNA (ENSGALG00010016154.1)". Lineage: Eukaryota; Metazoa; Chordata; Aves; Galliformes; Phasianidae. The record is from RNAcentral.